AAAUCAAAACAAAACAAUUAGGGUUGUUGAUUGUGGGUGAUUGUGGGUCUGUGGGGUUUGUUUGUUUGCAUGUUGGGUUUGUGCUUUUUUGUGAGCAUGGCGUCCCUUUCGUUGCUGCUGCUGCUUGCGCGGUGGUGGUGGAGGUGACCCAGCUGUAGGCCAUGGCCGGGCCCAGUCCCUUGCAGGGCUUGUCUAGAACGGUGGCCGCGCAUUGCCGAGUGUGUGAGUGAAUGUGGAACCCAAUCGGCAUGACCGAGUCUAAGACCUUCUUCUUCUCCGCCCCACCAUUUCAUGACGCCAUCGCGAGGGCAGGUGAAGUACACGUUCCUGCAGAAAUGCUGAUGAUCCCCGCACCCACCCCUGCCUCGAGUUCGACUUGGUGGGAUGCUCGCAUCGUAAACUCCGCCAGUCUGCUAUAAUCAACAGUGCAAUUUGUGAUUUGGGUGUGUGUGUAUAUAUAUAUAUAUAUAUAUAGGAAUAUACAUACACAGAUACAUACAUGGUUUGUAAAGUUUGGAACAGAAGUAUUACUCAGCUUGAAUGCCGAGUGUUGCAGCUGCUCAAAUUCUAAUUGAUAUUGAGCCACAGAAUGAAUGAAUGUUUUCCAGCAUUGUUGUCUUGUGUGGGGGGAUAAGUUCCAAGCAUAGCUUGAUAGUGAGUUCACGAAUGUGAUUGGUUUUACAUGAGAACAGAACUCCGACGGCGUGUCCCGUGAAAGCAUUUCAUUACUACGAUGGUCGCUUCUGGACCGUGUGGGAAUUGCCCAUGUUCGGGUGUGCCAGGAUUCCGCCCUUGUGUUGAGGGAGAUCGAGGAGUUGGGCUCGAAUCACGUGAAGCAGGUGCAGAUCUGCGGAUUCUUGGUAGCCAGGCCCAACUGAACGAUGUAGUGAUUCUUCUUAGAAACAGAUUCUUAGCAGACAAUCUGCCGCAUAGUGAGGCAACUAUGUGACCUCCAUUGAGGGUUUCGGGUGUACGUGUUUCAUGAAAAGCGUACUGCUGCAGUUUUGGCACACGAAGUCGCAACACGCUUGCUCGGAACUUGGAAAAGGAACAAUGCUGCCCGUAGCACAAUCUCGAUUGCUGAUCUUAGUUCUAGUGGAUACUUCUUAUUACUGUUAGCUGGUUUCCUUGAAGUUAAAUCUUGCGUAAUGCGUUUCAUCGGAAUGAACGUUGCAGUUCCAAUGACUAUUUCAAUCUGUCUUGUCUGUGCUACGAAGACCUGAGGUUACGUAGCGAGGUAAUAUGGAAAAUGCAGCUUUUUGGGUUGACAACAGCAGGAGGUAUCUCAUUUUAUUUCCUCAAAAUAAACGGGAAAAAUACAGUGGCUGUUGUGGACGAGUAACCAAAUCAUGGUUGAUUGAGGAGCAGUGCUUUAAACCCGGUCCCGGCUAUUUCGUGAAGUGAUUUACUGUCCCGACACUUUGGCAUUCCUGACGAUUUAAGGGUAGCAGCUGAUGGUGUCACGCCGAUAUCGUACUGCAUGAAGUUUUGCUGGGGGGCGGCAGAUUACGCUCUUUGAUUCAUUGUGCACAUAUGGUAUUGUACAGCAAGUAAUGUUGCAGCUGUAGCUGAGAGCGAACUGUGGCGACUGAGGAAGCACGAUAUCAUUACCAUGGCUUGAUAUCGAACAAUCCUGAAAAAGAAGCUUGGUAAUGGGCGAGCACUUGGUGCAUCGCUAAUCGUAAAAAACCCACACGUGUUUACUCAA
Molecule: non-coding RNA, 1708 nt
Organism: Physcomitrium patens
Lineage: Eukaryota; Viridiplantae; Streptophyta; Bryopsida; Funariales; Funariaceae
Source: RefSeq, a predicted model, not a curated record